UACAGAGGUCUCAAGCGUUGUUCGGAUUCAUUGGGCGUAAAGGGUGCGUAGGUGGCGCGCUAAGUCAGGUGUGAAAUUUCGGAGCUUAACUCCGAAACUGCAUUUGAUACUGGCGUGCUUGAGGACUGGAGAGGAGACUGGAAUUUACGGUGUAGCGGUGAAAUGCGUAGAUAUCGUAAGGAAGACCAGUGGCGAAGGCGGGUCUCUGGACAGUUCCUGACGCUGAGGCACGAAGGUCAGGGGAGCAAACGGG
Molecule: ribosomal RNA, 253 nt
Filed under: uncultured bacterium
Lineage: Bacteria
Description: partial 16S ribosomal RNA
Rfam family: Bacterial small subunit ribosomal RNA
Source: RNAcentral